GCUAACGGUUGAACCAGCAACUUGGAGGAAUGGAUAUCUAAAAAAUAGAUAGAAGGAACCAUGUUUCAUAUAAUUCUAGGUAAAAUGGGAGGACAUUUUAUUAUCUAAAAGUCUUGACCAAUUCACGUGCCAGCAGUCGCGGCAACACGUGUAAGACAAGUGUUAUUCAUCUUAAAUAGGUUUAAAGGGUACCUAAAUGGUUUACAAAUGGCCUCUGCUAAAGAAGUGCCACUGUAGGCUAGAGUGUAAUGUAAGAAUUUAGUAUGCUGAGAGUAGAGAUAAAAUUUAUUGAGUCCAUUUAAGACUGGCAAAGGCGAAAGCAAUUUUUUAUGUAAACACUGACGUAGAGGGACGAAGGCUUUGUACUAACGAACAGGAUUAGUUACCCUAGUAGUGGAGGCAGACAAUGAUGAGUGUCAUAUGUAAGUUUAAGAUUUAUAUAUAAAUGAAAGUGUAAACAUUUCACCUUAAGAGUAAUACGGCAACGUAUAAACUGAAAUCACUAGACCGUUUCUGACACCAGCAGUGAAGUAUGUUGUUUAAUUUGAUAGUCCACGGAAAACCUUACCACAAUUUGGAUAUUUAUAUAUUUUAGACGGUAUAUAAAUACAGGCGUUGCACGGCUGUUUCUAGUUAAUGUCGUGAGACAGUGGUUAAAUCCAUUAAAUUAACGUAAACCCUUACUUUAUUUACUAUAGAGUAUUUGAAUCUUUAAACGAUUUUAAAAAAAGGGAUUAAUACAA
Molecule: ribosomal RNA, 743 nt
Filed under: Ostropa barbara
Lineage: Eukaryota; Fungi; Ascomycota; Lecanoromycetes; Ostropales; Stictidaceae
Description: SSU rRNA
Rfam family: Bacterial small subunit ribosomal RNA
Source: RNAcentral